CCUACGUGAGGCUGCAGUGAGGAAUAUUGGUCAAUGGACGAGAGUCUGAACCAGCCAAGUAGCGUGAAGGAUGACUGCCCUAUGGGUUGUAAACUUCUUUUAUAUGGGAAUAAAAUGUUCCACGUGUGGGCUUUUGUAUGUACCAUAUGAAUAAGGAUCGGCUAACUCCGUUCCAGCAGACGCGGUAAUACGGAGGAUCCGAGCGUUAUCCGGAUUUAUUGGGUUUAAAGGGAGCGUAGGUGGAUUGUUAUGUUAGUUGUGAAAGUUUGCGGUUCAAACGUAAAAUUGCAGUUGAGACUGGCAGUCUUGAGUACAGUAGAGGUGGGCGGAAUUCGUGGUGUAGCGGUGAAAUGCUUAGAUAUCACGAAGAACUCCGAUUGCGAAGGCAGCUCACUGGACUGCAACUGACACUGAGGCUCGAAAGUGUGGGUAUCAAACAGGAUUAGAUACCCUUGUAGUG
Molecule: ribosomal RNA, 460 nt
Filed under: uncultured bacterium
Lineage: Bacteria
Description: partial 16S ribosomal RNA
Rfam family: Bacterial small subunit ribosomal RNA
Source: RNAcentral